GUUAUCGUUUAUUUGAUAGUACCUUACUACUUGGAUAACCGUGGUAAUUCUAGAGCUAAUACAUGCUAAAAACCCCGACUUCGGAAGGGGUGUAUUUAUCAGAUAAAAAACCAAUGCCCUUCGGGGCUCCUUGGUGAUUCAUAAUAACUUAACGAAUCGCAUGGCCUUGUGCCGGCGAUGGUUCAUUCAAAUUUCUGCCCUAUCAACUUUCGAUGGUAUGGUCUUGGCUUACCAUGGUUUCAACGGGUAACGGGGAAUUAGGGUUCUAUUCCGGAGAGGGAGCCUGAGAAACGGCUACCACAUCCAAGGAAGGCAGCAGGCGCGCAAAUUACCCAAUCCCGACACGGGGAGGUAGUGACAAUAAAUACUGAUACAGGGCUCUUUUGGGUCUUGUAAUUGGAAUGAGUACAAUUUAAAUCCCUUAACGAGGAACAAUUGGAGGGCAAGUCUGGUGCCAGCAGCCGCGGUAAUUCCAGCUCCAAUAGCGUAUAUUAAAGUUGUUGCAGUUAAAAAGCUCGUAGUUGAACCUUGG
RNAcentral lists this ribosomal RNA (532 nucleotides) under uncultured fungus. RNAcentral's name for it is "SSU rRNA". It matches the Rfam family "Eukaryotic small subunit ribosomal RNA", at positions 109 to 644 of the family's 1831-position model. The record is from RNAcentral. Lineage: Eukaryota; Fungi.